Molecule: ribosomal RNA, 430 nt
Filed under: uncultured bacterium
Lineage: Bacteria
Description: bacterial SSU rRNA
Rfam family: Bacterial small subunit ribosomal RNA
Source: RNAcentral
UGGGGAAUUGUUCGCAAUGGGCGCAAGCCUGACGACGCAACGCCGCGUGGAGGACGAAAACCUUCGGGUCGUAAACUCCUGUCGAGCGGGACGAACACCAACCGGGUUAAUACCCCGGAUGGCUGACGGUACCGCUAAAGGAAGCCCCGGCUAACUCCGUGCCAGCAGCCGCGGUAAUACGGGGGGGGCAAGCGUUGUUCGGAUUUACUGGGCGUAAAGAGCUCGUAGGCGGCUUGUUUAGUCGGGCGUGAAAUCCCUCGGCUCAACUGAGGAACUGCGUCCGAUACUGGCAAGCUUGAAUCCGGGAGAGGGAUGCGGAAUUCCAGGUGUAGCGGUGAAAUGCGUAGAUAUCUGGAGGAACACCGGUGGCGAAGGCGGCAUCCUGGACCGGUAUUGACGCUGAGGAGCGAAAGCUAGGGUAGCAAACGGG